Molecule: ribosomal RNA, 444 nt
Filed under: uncultured bacterium
Lineage: Bacteria
Description: partial 16S ribosomal RNA
Rfam family: Bacterial small subunit ribosomal RNA
Source: RNAcentral
CCUACGGGUGGCAGCAGUGGGGAAUAUUGGGCAAUGGAGGAAACUCUGACCCAGCAAUGCCGCGUGAAUGAAGAAGGUCUUCGGAUUGUAAAGUUCUUUCGUCAGGGAAGAAGUCAAUGACGGUUGCUGAAGAAUAUGCUCCGGCUAACUACGUGCCAGCAGCCGCGGUACUACGUAGGGAAGAAGCCUUGUUCCGUAUGACUGGGCGUAAAGGGUGCGUAGGCGGUUGUACAAGUUAGAAGUGAAAUACCCAGGGCUUAACUCGGGUGCUGCUUCUAAAACUGUAUGACUUGAGUGCAGUAGAGGCUAGUGGAAUUCCUAGUGUAGCGGUGGAAUGCGUAGAUAUUAGGAGGAACACCAGAGGCGAAGGCGGCUAACUGGACUGCAACUGACGCUGAGGCACGAAAGUGUGGGGAGCAAACAGGAUUAGAUACCCGAGUAGUC